GACGAACGCUGGCGGCGUGCCUAAUACAUGCAAGUAGAACGCUGAAGGAGGAGCUUGCUUCUCCGGAUGAGUUGCGAACGGGUGAGUAACGCGUAGGUAACCUGCCUGGUAGCGGGGGAUAACUAUUGGAAACGAUAGCUAAUACCGCAUAAGAGUAGAUGUUGCAUGACAUUUGCUUAAAAGGUGCAAUUGCAUCACUACCAGAUGGACCUGCGUUGUAUUAGCUAGUUGGUGGGGUAACGGCUCACCAAGGCGACGAUACAUAGCCGACCUGAGAGGGUGAUCGGCCACACUGGGACUGAGACACGGCCCAGACUCCUACGGGAGGCAGCAGUAGGGAAUCUUCGGCAAGGGACGGAAGUCUGACCGAGCAACGCCGCGUGAGUGAAGAAGGUUUUCGGAUCGUAAAGCUCUGUUGUAAGAGAAGAACGAGUGUGAGAGUGGAAAGUUCACACUGUGACGGUAUCUUACCAGAAAGGGACGGCUAACUACGUG
This 495-nucleotide ribosomal RNA is filed under the name uncultured bacterium. RNAcentral describes it as "partial 16S ribosomal RNA". It matches the Rfam family "Bacterial small subunit ribosomal RNA", at positions 28 to 507 of the family's 1533-position model. The record is from RNAcentral.